AUUGAACGCUGGCGGCAGGCCUAACACAUGCAAGUCGAGCGGAUGAAGGGAGCUUGCUCCUGGAUUCAGCGGCGGACGGGUGAGUAAUGCCUAGGAAUCUGCCUGGUAGUGGGGGAUAACGACCGGAAACGGGCGCUAAUACCGCCUACGUCCUGAGGGAGCAAGUGGGGGAUCUUCGGACCUCACGCUAUCAGAUGAGCCUAGGUCGGAUUAGCUAGUUGGUGGGGUAAAGGCCUACCAAGGCGACGAUCCGUAACUGGUCUGAGAGGAUGAUCAGUCACACUGGAACUGAGACACGGUCCAGACUCCUACGGGAGGCAGCAGAGGGGAAUAUUGGACAAUGGGCGGAAGCCUGAUCCAGCCAUGCCGCGUGUGUGAAGAAGGUCUUCGGAUUGUAAAGCACUUUAAGUUGGGAGGAAGGGCAGUAAGUUAAUACCUUGCUGUUUUGACGUUACCAACAGAAUAAGCACCGGCUAACUUCGUG
Molecule: ribosomal RNA, 484 nt
Filed under: uncultured bacterium
Lineage: Bacteria
Description: partial 16S ribosomal RNA
Rfam family: Bacterial small subunit ribosomal RNA
Source: RNAcentral